GUGCCGCCGUGCCGCCUUCGGAGUGGAGGGGGUCUAGGAUCUGCCAGUAGUGGUUUGAGGAGUCGGCUUCCCUUCCCUCCUGCCUCCCCUUCUAGUGGACGCUUAACUCUAGCGCUUGAGCCGCCGCAACGGACGUCGCCGCCCCGUCGCCGGUUCGCCCCGUCCUACCGCCGCCGCGACCGCGGCCCCCACAGGGCCUUCGACUUCUUCCACGAGCUCUGCGCCUGCCUGUCGGGUCUAGACGACCGGAGCGACCCGCGCGAGAGGUGGAAGAUGCUCGUGUUGUGGGGCGUCCGCGCGGCGUUGGAGUUCAGGAGGCAGCUCGUCGCGCGCGAGCGGUAGUUGGCGGUGAAGGAGCUGCGGAGGGAGGGGCGGGUCUUCCGCAACCUAGCGCAGCUCCCCCUUCACGUGCGCGACCUGCUAAGGACCUUCUUCUAACUCCUUCGUAACUCGUCGACAUCACGUUCAUGUCCCCUAUAGUAGUCAUGUUGCCUCUCCAACGUUGUUCUUGAACUCCAAUAGUGAGUCGCGGUCCUUUAACAUAGUACAAAGGACGCCCUAAUGGUUGAAAGUUUACUUCUCUAUGUACGUGAGGCCCUUCUUCUAUAUCUACUCUUUAAGAAAUUCCGUGAUAACGUACAGGUUCUUUAGGUAAGCUUGACGUUCCAAGACGACGCUUGUGUGGUGGUCGCACGACCAAACCUUGAAUACCUAUACUACAGGCACAUGGUUCUUCCUCGAAUACUUUCUAAUACGUCCACCCAAGUUCAACUCACAUUUUUUGAUCCACUAUGACUAUUAGGACUUCAUUCACUUGAAAACUUCUUCCGACAAGCCACGGACUUCCUUUCCGGACAAGACAAGUUCAUGACGCGUCUUCUCCAACGGUUAUACUCCGUAGUACGGAAUAAGUCCGCCAAAUAUUCACGAGAAUGAUCUCCACCUGGGCCUCCCGAGGGUUCUGGUUAUCUUCACGUACGAGUACUAGGAGAAGCAAUACAUCCGCUAUACGACCCUACCGAUGUAGUCCGUGAACGUAGACUUUCCCUCGAAUAUCGACGCGACGAACUAGGCCUACGUUAUUCACUGUCACCAGGUCGAUUAGUAGCAGUAAGACAUUCUCUUCCACUAAGUAGGUUUCCUCUUAGACUAAAGUGAAAACAAGAGCUAUCUUAUAAACUUCCCCGUACGGCUGGCAAAUUUCAAGCUCAGCUCGUUCAAGACGUCAGUGUUGGUUCAGACUAUCAAAGAAUGUUUGAAUCAUUAUGGGACCUUAAAAUACCAAUGUGCUAUAGUCUUGACGACCCACAUCUGUGUAGUAACACGUUAUGUUAUACCAGUGAAUCUCUACGUUGUGUCGCCUGUAAGAAGUUGUAGGACUUCUCGGCACCUCUUUUCAAUAACGCUAUAGGAGGUGAACAACGCCAACUGGAGAGAGGGGGUGGUCGUCACUCCCUCCCUCAAAGAGACAACGAACUCGAGUAUUCAUGGAUGUUAUCGUACUACUAAAGACGGAGACCUUUUCCCAAUUUGAAACUAGGUCAGUAAAGACGUUAUAACCUAGGAUAUUAAGUCUACACACUCGUUCGGCGUCUCCGUGUUUUCAGUUUUCCACGUGAACGUGCCGCACCAUCUUGAUCAAGACUUGGAUAGCCUUCAUUCUAUCUAAGUUAGAGUCAACUACGAUAAGAUAGUUUCUUUAGUAGUUGUAGACAGGACUCACCACUUAGAAGCAGGUUUCAAAUGGAGUAGUUGACGAAUAGUCGAUAACUCCUUGGUAACUACCUAGUCCUCCAACGAUGUUCGAUACACUUUUUGGAAGCGAGAUACUAGCUUUGUGUGUGCGCACGGAACCAUCUAUUUCUUCGACUAUCGUAAGAGUCAUUCACACCUAACAGUUCAUUCUACGGUAUGUACUUCUUGAUGUCGAGAUGACUGCCGCUCCUACUACGUUCUGGAGACCGUCUACAACACCUCUGUAGUGGUGUUUACGAAGACCUCACGAACUUUCGAAAGAUACCAUAACACUGACCUUGUCUUCCGAGGAACGGCCUUAAGCUCGUCGACGUCCAAGGUUCCAAUGCGAGUCUGCGCACGAUACCAAACCGCUCUCGUGAUCGUCUUCGAAUGCUCGAGUAAAUGUUCCGCCACUACCUAGGUUUCUUGACAAUAGGACUGGGUUCUAGCAACCAGUUCGUAAGCGGCCUCGUCUAUUCUUGAUAUGACCUUUAGACUCCAGGUAUGUGGUAUGGAAAACCAUGUACAUUACUCUCCUCUAAGUACAAGUCUUAGUGUGACUACAUAUAAAGGACGAUUUUAGGCUCCAAACGAACAAAUAUUUUUUGGUGUGCUCAGUAACAGCCUAAUUACUAUGGUCACCAUAUGGUCUCUUCUUUUUGUAAGGCCAUGGCUUAACAUAUAAACC
This 2425-nucleotide ribosomal RNA is filed under the name Triticum aestivum (bread wheat). RNAcentral describes it as "partial small subunit ribosomal RNA". The record is from RNAcentral. Lineage: Eukaryota; Viridiplantae; Streptophyta; Magnoliopsida; Poales; Poaceae.